This 204-nucleotide long non-coding RNA is filed under the name Callithrix jacchus (white-tufted-ear marmoset). RNAcentral's name for it is "lncRNA (ENSCJAG00000081627.1)". Lineage: Eukaryota; Metazoa; Chordata; Mammalia; Primates; Cebidae. The record is from RNAcentral.
CUUUCUACCAGAUUCGCUAUCAUGCUCUCCAGCUGGCUUGAAGAAGCAAGCCACCACAUUGCUCACUGCUCACAGAGAGGACCACAUGCGGAGGAACUGUGCAUAGCCUCAGGAGCUGAGUGCAGCAUCCAUGUGACAGUCGGGAAAAAUCUAGAGCUCUCAGUUCUACUACCGAGGGUCAUGCCUAACAUGAAUCCCUCUUAG